This 575-nucleotide ribosomal RNA is filed under the name uncultured bacterium. Its description in RNAcentral is "bacterial SSU rRNA". It matches the Rfam family "Bacterial small subunit ribosomal RNA", at positions 338 to 916 of the family's 1533-position model. The record is from RNAcentral.
CCUACGGGAGGCAGCAGUGAGGAAUAUUGGACAAUGGGCGCAAGCCUGAUCCAGCCAUGCCGCGUGCAGGAAGACGGUCCUAUGGAUUGUAAACUGCUUUUAUACAGGAAGAAACACCUCUACGUGUAGAGACUUGACGGUACUGUAUGAAUAAGCAUCGGCUAACUCCGUGCCAGCAGCCGCGGUAAUACGGAGGAUGCAAGCGUUAUCCGGAAUCAUUGGGUUUAAAGGGUCCGUAGGCGGUUUAAUAAGUCAGUGGUGAAAGCCCAUCGCUCAACGAUGGAACGGCCAUUGAUACUGUUAAACUUGAAUUAUUAGGAAGUAACUAGAAUAUGUAGUGUAGCGGUGAAAUGCUUAGAGAUUACAUGGAAUACCAAUUGCGAAGGCAGGUUACUACUAAUAUAUUGACGCUGAUGGACGAAAGCGUGGGGAGCGAACAGGAUUAGAUACCCUGGUAGUCCACGCCGUAAACGAUGGAUACUAGCUGUUCGGAGCAAUCUGAGUGGCUAAGCGAAAGUGAUAAGUAUCCCACCUGGGAGUACGUUCGCAAGAAUGAAACUCAAAUGAAAUUGAGG